AGAGUUUGAUCCUGGCUCAGGAUGAACGCUAGCGGCAGGCUUAACACAUGCAAGUCGAGGGGCAGCGGAUCGGGUAGCAAUACUUGAUGCCGGCGACCGGCGCACUGGUGAGUAACACGUAUGCGACCUGCCCUCCACAGGGGAAUAAUCCAGGGAAACUUGGUCUAAUACCCCAUAUGCUUUGCUUCUGCAUGGAGACAAAGUGAAAGAUCCGUCGGUGGAGGAUGGGCAUGCGGCGCAUUAGCUAGUUGGCGGGGUAACGGCCCACCAAGGCGACGAUGCGUAGGGGUUCUGAGAGGAAGGUCCCCCACACUGGUACUGAGACACGGACCAGACUCCUACGGGAGGCAGCAGUGAGGAAUAUUGGUCAAUGGGCGAGAGCCUGAACCAGCCAAGUCGCGUGAGGGAAGACGGUCCUACGGAUUGUAAACCUCUUUUGUCGGGGAGUAACAAGCGCCACGUGUGGUGCCAUGAGAGUACCCGACGAAAAAGCAUCGGCUAACUCCGUGCCAGCAGCCGCGGUAAUACGGAGGAUGCGAGCGUUAUCCGGAUUUAUUGGGUUUAAAGGGUGCGCAGGCGGCAUGGCAAGUCAGCGGUUAAAUCCCGAGGCUCAACCUCGGUUCGCCGUUGAAACUGCCGAGCUAGAGUAUGUGCGAGGAGAGCGGAAUGCGUGGUGUAGCGGUGAAAUGCAUAGAUAUCACGCAGAACGCCGAUUGCGAAGGCAGCCCUCCAGCACGUCACUGACGCUCAUGCACGAAAGCGUGGGUAUCGAACAGGAUUAGAUACCCUGGUAGUCCACGCGGUAAACGAUGAAUACUAGCUGUUCGGGCCGAUUGAGACUUGAGUGGCACAGCGAAAGCGUUAAGUAUUCCACCUGGGGAGUACGCCGGCAACGGUGAAACUCAAAGGAAUUGACGGGGGCCCGCACAAGCGGAGGAACAUGUGGUUUAAUUCGAUGAUACGCGAGGAACCUUACCCGGGCUCAAACGGUGGUGGACCGCUCUUGAAAGAGAGUUUCCCUUCGGGGCUGCCAUCGAGGUGCUGCAUGGUUGUCGUCAGCUCGUGCCGUGAGGUGUCGGCUUAAGUGCCAUAACGAGCGCAACCCCCAUCUUCAGUUGCCAUUGGGUUAAGCCGGGCACUCUGGAGAGACUGCCGGCGCAAGCUGUGAGGAGGGCGGGGAUGACGUCAAAUCAGCACGGCCCUUACGUCCGGGGCGACACACGUGUUACAAUGGCGGGGCACAGCGGGAAGCCAGGUGGCGACACCGAGCCGAUCCCGAAAACCCGUCUCAGUUCGGAUUGGAGUCUGCAACUCGACUCCAUGAAGCUGGAUUCGCUAGUAAUCGCGCAUCAGCCAUGGCGCGGUGAAUACGUUCCCGGGCCUUGCACACACCGCCCGUCAAG
RNAcentral lists this ribosomal RNA (1403 nucleotides) under uncultured bacterium. RNAcentral's name for it is "bacterial SSU rRNA". It matches the Rfam family "Bacterial small subunit ribosomal RNA". The record is from RNAcentral.